UUAGACCUACGGGGGGCAGCAGUGAGGAAUAUUGGUCAAUGGCCGGAAGGCUGAACCAGCCAAGCCGCGUGAGGGAGGAAGGCGCAGAGCGUCGCAGACCUCUUUUGCCGGGGGACACAAGGCCGGACUCGUCCGGUCCUGAGGGUACCCGGAGAAAAAGCAUCGGCUAACUCCGUGCCAGCAGCCGCGGUAAUACGUAGGGGGCAAGCGUUAUCCGGAAUUACUGGGUGUAAAGGGUGAGUAGGCGGCAUGGUAAGCCAGAUGUGAAAGCCUUGGGCUUAACCCGAGGAUUGCAUUUGGAACUA
This 305-nucleotide ribosomal RNA is filed under the name uncultured bacterium. RNAcentral describes it as "bacterial SSU rRNA". It matches the Rfam family "Bacterial small subunit ribosomal RNA", at positions 333 to 635 of the family's 1533-position model. The record is from RNAcentral.